ACCGGAAUCUCCUUCCGUCAACUCCAUGGCUCAAGGCAGGACACACAGAAGACCUAACCUUUGUAUGGGGUCUACCUUUCGUUAAAGAAUUAGACGGUAUCCAUGUGUAUAACAUGACGACCAAAGAAAAGGCAUUAAGUGUUUACAUUAUGGAGAUGUGGACUGAGUUUGCUAAAAAUGGAGUACCCAGUGAUGAAUGGCCUCAAUUUGAGAAACCGGGACUUCACUACCAAGAACUAUCUAUAGAAGAUGGGAGUUGGUAGAGCUGCGAGAGCAAAACAGUGCAACUUCUGGAAUCCGUAUCUGCUGAAACUAAAAACUUACACAGAUAACGUUGAAGAUAUCUGGAAUGAAUGGCUGGAAAGCAACAACGUAUGGAAAGAGGAUUUCGUAACUUGGCAAGGACUUUUCGAAGAAUUUGAAAAUGAUUUGAAUUGUAUAUGACAGUGAAUAUCCGGUGAUUUCAUAUUACUCAUCUCUAUAAACGCAUGUGUGAAUAGAAUGAAAAAUGUUGUCAAUUAUCAUUUUCUAAGGAAAAAAACGUUGAUUAUUUAAAAACUACAAAAGAGUAGCCGCCAUUCAUCUUUUUUUUAAACUGUUGAUUUUUUGCACAAAAAAAUGAAAUUAACUUCUCUGCUGUUUUGAGCCUGUUCUUUUGAGCCCUCUCUAUGUAAUGUAUUAUGUCUGAAAGACCCAAGUUGAAUACUUAUCCUACCUUAUUCUCGAAUGCAUCUAAAAACUUACUUCAUGUCGUUCAUGUCGUUGAGAAAUGUUUUUUUUUUACAAAUACAAAAUACGAGGUUAUUUACAGACCUCACUCCCCUUUACAAAGUUAUCAUUUAAAUUUUGUACAAAUAACUAUGAUCUGUUAGCCUGAUUUUUAAAAUGAGUAAUGAUUAAACAUUUUAAUCCAUUUCUUUUAAUGACUCUUCAUAACUUUUAUGAAUAAACACAUAUCAUUGUAAAGGGUGUGUCUGGCAUAUAUCGGAAGUUUAAUGUAAACCACGCAUAAGGCAAGUCUAUAGUUCAUGAAUACGUAUCACGAUAAUUGCUACUUUAACAAAUCUAAGCCAAUGUAAUCUCAUUCUUUUAUCAUUUUAUCAAUAAGUAGUCAAAUAUUUAUUCUAAGCCUAACUCUAGACAUGAUACCAAAAGUUCGUGACACGUCAACAUACUGCUUUCAGCAUGUACUGUAUUUUUUCAUCAUGUUGACUCAAAAGUCAAAUAAGAGGGAAUAACAUCAGUCUCCCAGCGAAAGCACUUAAUUGAGUAUAGAGAUAGGAAGGAAUAAACAUCACUUCCCCAGCAAGAUCCCUUAAAGGGAUGGCCUGGGCUGAAAAUAUUUAUAUCUAAAUAAAUAAAGUAAAA
This is a long non-coding RNA of Lytechinus variegatus (green sea urchin), 1368 nucleotides long. RefSeq lists it as uncharacterized. The record is from RefSeq and is a predicted model, not a curated record. The transcript has 3 exons. NCBI's taxonomy places the organism in Eukaryota, Metazoa, Echinodermata, Echinoidea, Temnopleuroida, Toxopneustidae.